Molecule: ribosomal RNA, 301 nt
Filed under: uncultured bacterium
Lineage: Bacteria
Description: partial 16S ribosomal RNA
Rfam family: Bacterial small subunit ribosomal RNA
Source: RNAcentral
CAGUAGCCGCGGGAACACAGAGGGUGCGAGCGUUAAUCGGAUUUACUGGGCGUAAAGCGUGCGUAGGCGGCUUCUUAAGUCGGAUGUGAAAUCCCUGAGCUUAACUUAGGAAUUGCAUUCGAUACUGGGAAGCUAGAGUAUGGGAGAGGAUGGUAGAAUUCCAGGUGUAGCGGUGAAAUGCGUAGAGAUCUGGAGGAAUACCGAUGGCGAAGGCAGCCAUCUGGCCUAAUACUGACGCUGAGGUACGAAAGCAUGGGGAGCAAACAGGAUUAGAUACCCCCGUAGUCCCUGUCUCUUAUAA